GGUAGUUGAAUCAAACUUUGCCACCAAAGUUGUUUCUUAGAAUAUCAGCCAGAAUCAGCCUAGCUAGCUAGAGAUUAAGCGUACCGACCAAGAAGACUUAAUUCCUUUGCUUUGCCCCUUCUUUUUGAAAUUCAAAUGCCCUUCUUCAUCCUCAUAAAUACACAAAUUAAAAGCUCAAGGGAUCUCAUCAGUAAACUUUUUCUGUUGUCUCAAGCUUUAAAUUUAAUAUACCCACCUCUGUUUUGUUGUUGGGUUGGUGGCAAAUUCAAUGCUAUAACUUCUUCUAGGCUCAACAUCCCAUCCCCUCUCACCUUCCCCCAUCUCUUUCUACCCCACCCCACACUCAUACUCCCAUUAAAUAAUGGUGAUCUCACUUACAGGGCAUCUCUUGUUCACUUGCAAACAGCACUUCCAUCUUCUCUGCCUCCAUUGCUUCUCUUUCUGCAUUCUUUAUGCUAUCUAGCUACUUUCUUGCAGCUAUAUCUCUUUCUCCUUGGCAAUAUCAGGUUUACUGCUGAAUUUUUCACAAAGAAAGCCAGGUGAGUUAAUGAAGGUCAGAUAAGUAAAAUGUAUUUUUUUCUAAGAGUUAUAAAAUCAAAGUCUAAUAUUUUAUCUUUUAAUUUUAUGGCAAUAUUGAAUUUGUAUUUUUCUUGGUUUCAUUAAAAAAAAUUAUUGUAAAGGGACUUUUCUGGUGGUAGGUGAAGAUUGAGAGAAGACAUAAAUUUUUCUCUGCAAUUGAUUGUUCCUUCUGGGUAAAGGCCGACCACUUUGUUGACAAAGUGAUAGGAGUAGGUUACCAGAUUCGAUCUUCUACUUCGUUUCAUUAGUAAAGCUCUUUUCAGAAUCAUAAUAAAGUUUCAAAACCAAACCCCUUUUACCAAGCCAAUUAGGUCCCAUUAUUUUAUCAUUAAAAUACACUAUCUCCUGUAUAGUAUAUAUAUAUGUGGUAUUUUAUCAUAAACCCUUCAAAAGCUAUGCUUUUAGUGUCGAAUUGUCGAUAUAUAUAAACAUUCUUCUUGCACCGUUAAAUGCAGAAGUCUACAAUUAAUAAAAGAUAUAGAAAUGCUUUUUAUGAA
Long non-coding RNA from Hevea brasiliensis (rubber tree), 1076 nucleotides. RefSeq lists it as uncharacterized. The record is from RefSeq and is a predicted model, not a curated record. Lineage: Eukaryota; Viridiplantae; Streptophyta; Magnoliopsida; Malpighiales; Euphorbiaceae. The transcript is spliced from 2 exons.